This is a transfer RNA of Naegleria gruberi, 71 nucleotides long. It matches the Rfam family "tRNA". From Rfam's summary of the family: Transfer RNA (tRNA) molecules are approximately 80 nucleotides in length. Their secondary structure includes four short double-helical elements and three loops (D, anti-codon, and T loops). The record is from Rfam. NCBI's taxonomy places the organism in Eukaryota, Heterolobosea, Eutetramitea, Acrasida, Naegleriidae.
CGUCUCGUGGUGUAAUGGUAGCAUAGUGGACUUUGAAUCCAUUGACGGAGGUUCGAUUCCUCCCGAGACGG